GUGCACUUUGGCAGCACAUAUACUAAAAUUGGAACGAUACAAAGAAGAUCAGCACGGCCCCUGCGUAAGGAUGACGUGCAAAUUUGUGAAGUGUUUCAUAUUUUU
Molecule: small nuclear RNA, 105 nt
Organism: Choloepus didactylus (southern two-toed sloth)
Lineage: Eukaryota; Metazoa; Chordata; Mammalia; Pilosa; Megalonychidae
Source: RefSeq, a predicted model, not a curated record